UUCUAGUUCACAGUCAAAUUUCACUUAAAAUCUAAGUUCUAUUUAUGGUUAGUAGACUCUUGUAUUGACGGUUUACAUAAUAUUGUAAAUAAUAAAUCUUUUUAUCUCUAAUUAUUAAAAAAUAUUUUUUAAUGUUUUUUUCAUUCAAGUUCUUGUAAUCAUAAAUUAUUGUCUUCAUGUGCAUGUUUUUUUAAGAUUAUGGUUAUGAAAAUUAGAAGGCAAGCUUAUGAUAAUAUAACAAUUGAAAAAAGUUCAACAUAACAAACAUAAAAAUAAGUUACUAUCUUAACACUC
Molecule: long non-coding RNA, 294 nt
Filed under: Brassica napus (rape)
Lineage: Eukaryota; Viridiplantae; Streptophyta; Magnoliopsida; Brassicales; Brassicaceae
Description: long non-coding RNA (BNAP_LNC022577)
Source: RNAcentral